RNAcentral lists this Y RNA (108 nucleotides) under Vulpes vulpes (red fox). Its description in RNAcentral is "Y RNA (ENSVVUG00000017879.1)". It matches the Rfam family "Y RNA". Rfam says of the family: Y RNAs are components of the Ro ribonucleoprotein particle (Ro RNP), in association with Ro60 and La proteins. The record is from Rfam by way of RNAcentral. Lineage: Eukaryota; Metazoa; Chordata; Mammalia; Carnivora; Canidae.
UGCUGGUCCGAGGGUAGUGGGUUAUCAGAACUUAUUAACAUCAGUGUCACUAACAUUGGCAUACGACCCCCACCCCUGUCCUCCCCUGCUAAAUUUGACUGGCUUUAA